AUCCGCGUAAAAUCUUACCACCCCUCGUAUAUUUAUUGAUCUUAAAAGAUCUAAAUACAGGUAUUGCAUGGUUGUCGUAGGUCAGUGCUAGUAAGGCGAGAAGUUAGUUCUGUUAAACUCGACGUAAUCCUUGCUGUAAAUUUAAACUUUACAGUCCUAUUUCGAUAAGAAAUUAAAAAAAACUUAUUUUUAGAAGGAGUAUGACAAACCCUCAUGGUCCUUAUGGGGUGGGCUAUAGACGUGCUACAAUAGAUUUAUCAAAGU
RNAcentral lists this ribosomal RNA (264 nucleotides) under Staphylococcus aureus. RNAcentral's name for it is "partial 16S ribosomal RNA". It matches the Rfam family "Bacterial small subunit ribosomal RNA", at positions 957 to 1245 of the family's 1533-position model. Lineage: Bacteria; Bacillati; Bacillota; Bacilli; Caryophanales; Staphylococcaceae. The record is from RNAcentral.